GUCCCUGUAGAAAUGAAUAGCGCGCGUUGGACUUCUUAUCCAAAGGUCGAGGGUUCGAACCCCUCCAGGAAUG
This is a non-coding RNA of Trichonephila inaurata madagascariensis, 73 nucleotides long. The record is from the annotation of a GenBank genome assembly. NCBI's taxonomy places the organism in Eukaryota, Metazoa, Arthropoda, Arachnida, Araneae, Nephilidae.